CUGGCCGGCAUAGGUCGACCCGUGAUCACCGGGAACGAAUGCUGCGGCGACGUCGUCGCGGGCCCAUAUCGCUCCGACCGGCAUCCCGUUGGCGAUGCCCUUGGCCAUCGUGACCACGUCGGGGCGCACGCCGGCGUGCUGGAAACCGAACCAGGCACCGGUGCGGCCCAUGCCGGCUUGCACCUCGUCGAAGAUCAACAGCAGACCGCGUUCGUCGCAGAUCUGCCGGACGCCGCGGAGAUAGUCGUCGUCGGCCGGGUUGACGCCACCUUCGCCUUGCACCGACUCGAGGAUGACACCGCCCACCUCGGGGGUGAGGCUGCGCUCGAACUCCGCAAGGUCGUUCCAGACGACGUGCCGGAACCCCUCGGGCAACGGCUGGAAGGGCUCGUGCUUCUCGGGCUGACCGGUUGCGGCCAACGACAUCAGGGUGCGGCCGUGGAAGCUCCGUAGGGCACUCACGACGCCGUGGCGACCCCGGCCCUGGUACUUGCGCACGAGCUUG
Molecule: ribosomal RNA, 505 nt
Filed under: uncultured Verrucomicrobiales bacterium HF0070_30L02
Lineage: Bacteria; Pseudomonadati; Verrucomicrobiota; Verrucomicrobiia; Verrucomicrobiales
Description: 23S ribosomal RNA
Source: RNAcentral